Molecule: ribosomal RNA, 305 nt
Filed under: uncultured bacterium
Lineage: Bacteria
Description: bacterial SSU rRNA
Rfam family: Bacterial small subunit ribosomal RNA
Source: RNAcentral
GAUCCUACGGGGGGCAGCAGUGGGGGAUAUUGCACAAUGGGGGAAACCCUGAUGCAGCGACGCCGCGUGAGUGAAGAAGUAUUUCGGUAUGUAAAGCUCUAUCAGCAGGGAAGAAAAUGACAGUACCUGACCAAGAAGCCCCGGCUAACUACGUGCCAGCAGCCGCGGUAAUACAUAGGGGGCAAGCGUUAUCCGGAUUUACUGGGUGUAAAGGGUGCGUAGGUGGCAGGGCAAGUCAGAUGUGAAAGCCCGGGGCUCAACCCCGGUACUGCAUUUGAAACUGUCCAGCUGGAGUGCAGGAGAGG